RNAcentral lists this ribosomal RNA (516 nucleotides) under Salmonella enterica. RNAcentral describes it as "partial 23S ribosomal RNA". It matches the Rfam family "Bacterial large subunit ribosomal RNA", at positions 689 to 1203 of the family's 2925-position model. The record is from RNAcentral. Lineage: Bacteria; Pseudomonadati; Pseudomonadota; Gammaproteobacteria; Enterobacterales; Enterobacteriaceae.
UGGGCGUUAAGUUGCAGGGUAUAGACCCGAAACCCGGUGAUCUAGCCAUGGGCAGGUUGAAGGUUGGGUAACACUAACUGGAGGACCGAACCGACUAAUGUUGAAAAAUUAGCGGAUGACCUGUGGCUGGGGGUGAAAGGCCAAUCAAACCGGGAGAUAGCUGGUUCUCCCCGAAAGCUAUUUAGGUAGCGCCUCGUGAAUUCAUCUCCGGGGGUAGAGCACUGUUUCGGCUAGGGGGCCAUCCCGGCUUACCAACCCGAUGCAAACUGCGAAUACCGGAGAAUGUUAUCACGGGAGACACACGGCGGGUGCUAACGUCCGUCGUGAAGAGGGAAACAACCCAGACCGCCAGCUAAGGUCCCAAAGUCAUGGUUAAGUGGGAAACGAUGUGGGAAGGCCCAGACAGCCAGGAUGUUGGCUUAGAAGCAGCCAUCAUUUAAAGAAAGCGUAAUAGCUCACUGGUCGAGUCGGCCUGCGCGGAAGAUGUAACGGGGCUAAACCAUGCACCGAAGCUGC